RNAcentral lists this ribosomal RNA (496 nucleotides) under uncultured bacterium. Its description in RNAcentral is "partial 16S ribosomal RNA". It matches the Rfam family "Bacterial small subunit ribosomal RNA", at positions 28 to 506 of the family's 1533-position model. The record is from RNAcentral.
GAUGAACGCUGGCGGCGUGCCUAAUACAUGCAAGUCGAGCGAACGGACGAGAAGCUUGCUUCUCUGAUGUUAGCGGCGGACGGGUGAGUAACACGUGGAUAACCUACCUAUAAGACUGGGAUAACUUCGGGAAACCGGAGCUAAUACCGGAUGAUAUUUUGAACCGCAUGGUUCAAAAGUGAAAGACGGUCUUGCUGUCACUUAUAGAUGGAUCCGCGCUGCAUUAGCUAGUUGGUAAGGUAACGGCUUACCAAGGCAACGAUGCAUAGCCGACCUGAGAGGGUGAUGGGCCACACUGGAACUGGGACCCGGUCCAGACCCCUACGGGAGGCAGCAGUAGGGAAUCUUCCGAAAUGGGCGAAAGCCUGACGGGGCAACGCUGGGUGAGUGAUGAAGGUCUUCGGAUCGUAAAACUCUGUUAUUAGGGAAAAACAUAUGUGUAAGUAACUGUGCACCUCUUGACGGUACCUAAACAGAAAGCCACGGCUAACUGCGU